Molecule: long non-coding RNA, 389 nt
Organism: Oncorhynchus keta (chum salmon)
Lineage: Eukaryota; Metazoa; Chordata; Actinopteri; Salmoniformes; Salmonidae
Exons: 3
Source: RefSeq, a predicted model, not a curated record
UUGAAGUCGCAGGUUGAUGACAUCACCAGUCAAGGCCCAUAGGAGCUGUUCAAUCUGAAAUGACACCCUCUAUAGGGCCGUACGUUGGACCAGGAGAGCACCAUGAAAGGGGGCGUUAUUUAGGUCGCAGGUUGAUGACAUCACCAGUCUAUAUAUAAAGGCAGGAUAUGAAAGGAUCACCCUCUAUAGGGCCGUACGUUGGACCAGGAGAGCACCAUGAAAGGGGACGUUAUUUAGGUCGCAGGUUGAUGACAUCACCAGUCUAUAUAUAAAGGCAGGAUAUUAAAGGAUCACCCUCUAUAGGGCCGUACGUUGGACCAGGAGAGCACCAUGAAAGGGGACGUUAUUUAGGUCGCAGGUUGAUGACAUCACCAGUCUAUAUAUAAAGG